UACGUAGGUGGCAAGCGUUGUCCGGAAUUAUUGGGCGUAAAGCGCGCGCAGGCGGUCCUUUAAGUCUGAUGUGAAAGCCCACGGCUCAACCGUGGAGGGUCAUUGGAAACUGGGGGACUUGAGUACAGAAGAGAAGAGUGGAAUUCCACGUGUAGCGGUGAAAUGCGUAGAGAUGUGGAGGAACACCAGUGGCGAAGGCGACUCUUUGGUCUGUAACUGACGCUGAGACGCGAAAGCGUGGGGAGCGAACCGG
Molecule: ribosomal RNA, 253 nt
Filed under: uncultured bacterium
Lineage: Bacteria
Description: partial 16S ribosomal RNA
Rfam family: Bacterial small subunit ribosomal RNA
Source: RNAcentral